GACGAACGCUGGCGGCGCGCUUAACACAUGCAAGUCGAACGGAAAGGCCUGCUUUCCCUUGUGGAUUGCGGGUACUCGAGUGGCGAACGGGUGAGUAACACGUGAGUGAUCUGCCCCCAACUUGGGUAUAAGCCUGGGAAACUGGGUCUAAUUCCCGAUAGGACUGCAGGGUGGUGCCUGUGGUGGAAAACGAUUUUCUAGUGGUUGGGGAUGAGCUCGCGGCCUAUCAGCUUGUUGGUGGGGUAAUGGCCUACCAAGGCGGCGACGGGUAGCCGGCCUGAGAGGGUGGACGGACACAUUGGGACUGGGAUACGGCCCAGACUCCUACGGGAGGCAGCAGUGGGGAAUAUUGGACAAUGGGCGGAAGCCUGAUGCAGCGACGCCGCGUGGGGGAUGACGGCCUUCGGGUUGUAAACUCCUUUCGACCGCGAGGAAGCCACCUGGUUGGAAGGGUGGUGACGGUAGUGGUAGAAGAAGCACCGGCUAACUACGUG
This 494-nucleotide ribosomal RNA is filed under the name uncultured bacterium. RNAcentral describes it as "partial 16S ribosomal RNA". It matches the Rfam family "Bacterial small subunit ribosomal RNA", at positions 28 to 507 of the family's 1533-position model. The record is from RNAcentral.